RNAcentral lists this long non-coding RNA (1232 nucleotides) under Salmo trutta (river trout). RNAcentral describes it as "lncRNA (ENSSTUG00000025354.1)". Lineage: Eukaryota; Metazoa; Chordata; Actinopteri; Salmoniformes; Salmonidae. The record is from RNAcentral.
AGUGUAUAUCCUCCUUUGCUCACUCAUUCCACGGCAGGCUGAGGGUUUUUGCUCCUCCCUUGUCCUUGAUUGAUGAAUUAAGGUCACUGAUUAGUAAGGACCUCCCCUCACCUGGUUGUCUAGGUAUUAAUUGAAAGGAAAAAAAAAAAAAAAAAAACAGCAGACAUUAGGCCCUCCCUGGAAUAAGUUUGACACCCCUGCUCUAAUGGGUCAAUGAGUAACACUGAGGGCUUUGAGUCACUUUUAACUUGUUAAUUGGAUCGACUCCACAUAAUUAAACACUUCACCAGCACUCAAUGAAAAUGAUUCUAUUUACAGUUCAUUACACACCACUUCUCUCUUCAAUGUUGAUGUGAUGACAGUUGACUUCUUCAUUAUCCUGUCGGAUUGUAAAUUAGUUGUUCAACAGUCAUUAUCUGAGCUACUCCACUUUUCUGGAGUAAUAUUAAAGGCUAUGAAUAGCCAAAAGUUGUACUUAAAGCUGUUGUUGCAUUCAGCUGAUUUCAAGAUUUAGUAUACAUUACUGCGCAUCUUAAAAUAAAGCGAGCAUACUAAAUCAUCUAAAGUAUUUUAUCCGCCUCUCUCCCAGGGUAAGGGGAAAAUGAACACAUAUUGGCUGAUCGGACACAAGAACUACAGUGUUCAGAACGACAGUCUUGUGUGCCACUGGAACCCCAAUCUAGCCAGAAAGAAGAAGACAUUGGUGGGGAGCGACAUUUCUAUGGCGAACUCCUGUGUGACAGUGCAGAGCCUCAGUGAAAAUGCUACCACUCCCGUGCCUCAGGGAUCCAAGGCCCAGCAGGGGGCCCUGUGUGUGUCCGUGUCAGCCCAGGUGGAGCACUGUGCCAGCAGCUUCGGCACCCUGGGCUCCAUGAUCGGGGGCCUCCAGGGACUAGCGAGCCCCAAGGAGGGGAAAGCCUGCGGGGGGACGGGAGGAGACAAACCGGACCUGCUGCCUGGAUCUGGAACCAUCCCUCAUAUGUGAUGGAGGGCUGGGAUGGUAGGAUGGAUUGGGACAAGAAACUUCUCAAACUAAAUUGCUAUGUUUUUUUCCUCUGGCUGUUUGAGUGGAGAUUCAGGGGAUUUUAAUGAUGAUGUAAAUACAGUAUAUUUAGGCAUGUGUGAAAGAACCGCAAUGAAUAAAAGAAAAACAGUUACUCUGAUAUCUGGUGUGUGUGUGUGUGUUUUAUAUACAGAGUAAACGUUUUUGUAUCAACCUUGGACAGAUUGUG